AAAUUAAACUGCUAUUUUUUUAAAAGCACCCAAUACAAAAGGAAUCAAGAUACUUUAUUAACUUAAUAAAAUGCACAUAUCUCAGCCCCAAGCCAGCAUCUAACCUAAUAAAAAAAUGCUGGAGAUAUUUCCUAAAGUCAGACCAAGACAAGGUUAUUUGCCAUUAUACUACUGUUCAGUAAUGACCUGGGAUAUUAGGCAACAUAAUUGUAUAUGAGAAAGUGAUUAUGUAAAAUCAUAAUAAUAUUAUUAAUAUGUUAAAUUAUUGACUUGUAUAAGAGAAAGAUAUAACAUUAUAUAGGAGACAGGUGUAAAAAUUGUAAAUGAGGAUGCAGAGCUAUACUAUUUGCAGAUGGUAUGAUCAUAUACCUGGAAUACCCAAGAAACUUGGCUAAAAAACUAUAUACAAUAAGAUAGUUUAGGAAGAUGCUUUAUAUUAAUAUACUUUUAAAAAGGCUUCAUGAUACAAAUAUCCAUUUAGAGGAUAAAGUUGAAAAAAACAUUACAAUGGUAUAAAAAAGUGAAUAUUUGGAAAUAAACACUACAAAAAAUGUGAGAGACAUAUGAAGAAACAGUCCUUAUUAACACAAAGUACACUUGAAACAAAUGUGAAGACGAGUCAGGUACUGAGGGACGCGUAACAACACAUACAGGGUAGUUUGCAAAUUUAACAACAUCCUCACCCUCUAAAAAAACACCACCAGGUUUUGUUGUUCUUCCCUCUCCGCAUUGGAGAAGGAAAUGGCAACCCACUCCAGUGUUCUUGCCUGGAGAAUCCCAGGGACCGGGGAGCCUGGUGGGCUGCCAUCUACGGGGUCGCACAGAGUUGGACACAACUGAAGCGACUUAGCAGCAGCAGCCUCUCUGCCCAAACUUAACAAGCUAAUUCGAGUCAUUUGGGAAUUUAUGGCAAGUGUAGCCAGAGGAAAAUCACUGAUGGGGAGAUUAUAUAUAUCAGAUACUGAAGCAAACUACAAACUUUGAGAAUUGUGCCAUUCUGGGAAUUUAGUUACCUAUGGGGAUUUAGUAUAUGAUCAAAGUGGCUUCUCAAAUCAGUGGGGGAGAAAUGGAAGACAGUAAGUGAUAGUGAGGUUCUAGAGCAGCAGGUUAAAAUCCUCUGUCCAUGGGAUUUUCCAGGGCACAGCAAGAGACAACACACCUACAAGCCUAGUCUUUCUGUGAAGGAGGCCUAUUAACUAAUCGUGAUUGUGGCCUGAGGGGCAGGCUUCUAAUUAAACUUGCAUCUUGAGGCACACAGCAAUCCUUUUCAGAGACCUCAGAGGACAGUUCCAUCCUAAUGUUCAUCCUCUGCCAUGCUCUUGAGCACCAGUGUCUCUUGGAGGGGAGCUUGUCAUUUGUCUGGUGCCUUGGCCUUUGUGUCUGGUGCCCCCGUUUUUGUAGCUGCUGCCCAAUGGACACCCUUUGAUUGCCUGGCUUUGGUGACUGAAGAGGCUUUCUUUCCAGGGUUGCUUUGUACUAUGGAAGUUUGACAGAAAAUUUUUGGCUGGCUAUCACCACCAGGGCUAUGCACAGACAGCAGACUGAGGUAUAGUCCUCAGUCUUUCUGUGAAGGCCCCUUUGCUUAUCUUGGAGAUUCAUCCUGAGGGGGAGGCUUCAGAUUUAGCACCUUUAGUGACCUAAAAACCUGCUCGCAAGGAAUGAGGCUUGUGGACAUCAUCUUGUUGCUUCCAAGAGCAGUACCAUCUUGGCUCUCCCUCUUUAUUUCUCCAGCUCACUGGUGUCAUCCAGAAAAGAGCUUCUACAUUUGUUUGAAGACCUGAUUAUUGUGACUACUGACCAAUGGACACCUCCAGAUUGCUUGUCUCUGGUGGCCAGUGGGACUUACAAAACUUGCAGUUCUACAGAUCUGUAUAUAUUUGAAAACCAUUAAAAUCUGAUGUUUAAGGGUCUGGCUUCUUGUCAGCCUGAAUAUAGUGCUGAGAUCCUCUCCUUUGGGGCACUGACAGGUACUGGCACAUCCUCAGUUACUGGGAGUCGCUGAACACGUAGUAGGCUGCUUGGACAAACACAAAGGUUUGAGAAACAAUCGAGACUUGAGGCAGGGCUGAAUGUCAAGCUUCAUCUGCUAUACAUGGUCAUUCCUUCGAGACUGGGAGAGGU
Long non-coding RNA from Bos taurus (domestic cattle), 2121 nucleotides. Lineage: Eukaryota; Metazoa; Chordata; Mammalia; Artiodactyla; Bovidae. The record is from Ensembl.